This 694-nucleotide long non-coding RNA is filed under the name Rattus norvegicus (Norway rat). RNAcentral describes it as "long non-coding RNA NONRATT003130". Lineage: Eukaryota; Metazoa; Chordata; Mammalia; Rodentia; Muridae. The record is from RNAcentral.
GGGGAUGAGAACCAUUUCCUUAACCUGGUGCUAUAGCUGCCUAUCUCCUUUCCUGCAGUGUCGCAGUAGGGAGUGGGCAGAAAAUGGAGACUUGUUGGCGCAGGCUCCUUUUCACAGAUUUAGUCCUAUCUUCCAUGACCUUUUAUAAUGGAAGGGAUCGUUUACACUUGAGAAGAACUACUGAACAGCACGUGCCAGAGAUUGAGGUCCAGGUCAAACGUAGAAGGACAGCCUCACUGAGCAACCAAGAGUGUCACUUGUACCCAAGGCGUUCUCAGCAACAGCAAAUUCCUGUGGUGGAUUUCCAGGCAGAACUGAGACAGGCGUUCUUAGCUGAGACACCAAGAGGUGGUUAAAGCAGUAUUGGAACUGUGGGGUGGUGGAAGUCAACAAAAACAGGACCUAUCCACUGAUUGUGAAACUUUGGUCAAGCUUACACUGUGUUAAUAGCCUGCAUCAAACCUUUAUUUAUUGCCCUUCUCCAAGUAUUAAGGAUCUUGAAAUUUUAGUGUUGACAACUGCUAUUGUGGAACAGCAAUCAUGACUGUGGGUAAGAGUAGCAAGAUGCUCCAGCAUAUUGACUAUAGAAUGAGAUGUAUCCUGCAAGAUGGAAGAAUCUUCAUUGGCACCUUUAAGGCUUUUGACAAGCAUAUGAAUUUGAUCCUCUGUGAUUGUGAUGAGUUCAGGAAGAUCA